UAAUUUUUUCUUUUUCAAAUAUAUAUAUAUAUAAUAACUAACAACUAUAAUUAAGAGAUUUUUGUUAGAUUGUUGGUGCUAACCAUUAAUUCUAAAGGCUGGAGUUGUUAGAAAUACGCAACUAAUUCACUAAGAAUAUACAGAUACAGUGCCCACGGAUCUCGAUUGUGACUCAGUCCAUCCAACCUUUCGUCAUUUCGAAUAUUACUCAGUUCAACAUGGCACACUUAAAGCAUACAAAUAUAACGCCCACAGGUCUCGAUUGUGACCUGGCCCACCCAACCUUACGCCACUUCGAGUAUGACUCGGCUCAACAUGGCAUUCCGCCACAGAGCAGGAUGCGGGCUUAUUUAAGCCAACAAUCUCCCCCCCCUAAGUACCUGCAUACAUUUGCUAUUUGCAACAUGCGGGAAUCGAAACAGUAAUUUCUGGUUCUGAUACCACUUGUCAGAUCGUUGGCGCUAACCAUUAAUCCCAAAAGCUCGAACUGUUAAAAAUAAGCAACUAAUUUACUUAAAAUAUACAAAUACAGCGCCCACGGAUCUCAAUUGUGACUUGGCCCAUCCAGCCUAAAGACACUUCAAACAUGAUUCGAUCCACCUAACCUCACGGUAUUUUGAACAUGACUCGGCCCAAUGUAAUCUCCUGCCACGGGGCGAAAAUUUUUCAACUAAAAUUAUAAUUUUCUAUUAACUAAAAAUUAUACUUCUGGCCUUUU
Molecule: long non-coding RNA, 718 nt
Filed under: Ananas comosus (pineapple)
Lineage: Eukaryota; Viridiplantae; Streptophyta; Magnoliopsida; Poales; Bromeliaceae
Description: long non-coding RNA (ACOM_LNC007850)
Source: RNAcentral